This 101-nucleotide ribosomal RNA is filed under the name Castor canadensis (American beaver). Lineage: Eukaryota; Metazoa; Chordata; Mammalia; Rodentia; Castoridae. The record is from RNAcentral.
GUCUAUGCCCAUACCACCCUGAACAUGCCUGAUCUCAUUUGCUCUUGGAAGGUAAGCAGGGUCAGGUCUGGUUAGUACUUGGAUGGGAGAAUGUAUAAUUU